This 81-nucleotide small RNA is filed under the name Geosporobacter ferrireducens. RNAcentral describes it as "Clostridiales-2 RNA". It matches the Rfam family "Clostridiales-2 RNA". The record is from Rfam by way of RNAcentral. Lineage: Bacteria; Bacillati; Bacillota; Clostridia; Peptostreptococcales; Thermotaleaceae.
AUUAUAUAAAAAAUAGGGGAUGAAAUCCCCUGCCGUACUAAGGAGGGUGCUCAGACUGCGAAAGCAGUCGUCGAAGGGAAC